This 72-nucleotide transfer RNA is filed under the name Xylaria hypoxylon. RNAcentral describes it as "tRNA-Met". It matches the Rfam family "tRNA". Rfam says of the family: Transfer RNA (tRNA) molecules are approximately 80 nucleotides in length. Their secondary structure includes four short double-helical elements and three loops (D, anti-codon, and T loops). The record is from RNAcentral. Lineage: Eukaryota; Fungi; Ascomycota; Sordariomycetes; Xylariales; Xylariaceae.
UGCGAAUUGGUGUAAUAGUAACAUAUUUGACUCAUGAUCAAAUGAUAAAGGUGCGAAUCCUUUGUACGCGUC